AUGACCAUCAAAGUCAAGCAAGAGACAAUUCUCUCCGUCCAGGCUGCGUUAUCGGAAAUGGGUCUGAAAAUGAGUGACAUGAAGAACCACUACGAUCAAGAAAAAGCUAAAAUCAUACAAGAUCAUUUAAUGGAAUAUACACAGCAGAAACAAUUAAUUGCAGAUCUUGAGGGUAAAAUGGACAGAGAGCGAAACGAUUACAUCAAUUAUAUUAAUGAUUUAAACGGUCAAAUCUCAGAACUGCAAGAGGAAGAGAGCGCUGUGAAGUCCAAAUUAACCGAAAAGGAGGCUGUCGCUGCAGAAAUUGAGAAGAAAAUGAAGGAGAAAGAAGCUGAGAUUUCAGCUUUAAUUGCAGAAAAAACCCAGUUAAAAAACGAACUAGCUGAAUUAUUAAGUGCAAAAGAAACUAUUGAGAAACCGCUUGAAGCCCUUGAGGCGGAGCUGAAAUCAAAGGAAGAAGAAGUAUCGGCAUUGCAAGAACAAGUAUCAUAUCUGGAACAACAGAUGCAUCAUAUGAAAAUCGAAAAAGAAAAAAUAAUGAUAGACAAUGCAAAUACUAUGCUGGAACUUUCUUUGAAAAAUGAAGAGCGUUUACAAACGACAAGAGAAGCUUUUGAGAAUCGCCUACGAGCACUUCAGUCCAACCUAGCUGAGGAUGAGAACAACUAUAGAGGUCUUCAAACUUGGCUUGCGGAUCGCUUAGAGUCUCUUCAAGAAAACCUUGUUUCAGAGCUGAGCACUAUUGAAACCAAUAACCAAGCGAAACUCGACGAAUUAGCCGGUUCAUACAGCGGAAUUGAAAGCAAAAUAAAAACUGUCAGAGGCACCCUUCACAGCAGAAUCAGCAAGUACGCUGCUGAAUCAGAGAGCAAGUAUAAUCAGAUAGUUGACAGAUUAGCUGGCAAGAAAAAAAAAGCGGAAGCUGAAAGAGAUGAUUUGAAAGAGAGAACUAAAAGCCAAGAAAUGAGCAUCAAAGAAUUAGAAAACAACUUAUUGAUGGCUAAGAAAGAGUGUAAAAGUCUGCAUGUAGCCUCAAAAAAUGCUCAGGCAGCGGUAGAAGCUCUCAGCUCACAUCUAGAACAAGCUGGGACACGUAUCGAAUCUCUGCAGGAAGAAAAGCAAAAGCUAGCAGAUUUAUUGAAGGAAAAAGAAUUGGCAUACGAGAAACUCGAAAAAUGUAUGAAUGAGCUUGAAAUCGCAUUAAUAGAGGAAACGAAACUCAUCCAUGAUAGAUUACUCAACGAGGUUGAAAAGUUUAAGCAAAUGGCAAAAGCUCAAAAAGAAAUGUACGAAGAAAAAUUAGACGAGUCAUUCAAGCGCCAGUUAACCCUAGAAGAAAAAUUAGACGAGUCAUCAAAGCGCCAGUUAACCCUAGAAGACCAAAUUAAUGAAUCUGAAGUUGUCGUUAACAGUCAGAGCUUAGAGAUUCAAAUUUUGAAAUCCAAAUUAGAAAACGAAGAUGGAGAAAACGCCGAACUCAAAGAGAUUUUAAGAAAAAUAACCCUGAAAGUCAGUGAAUUUUGCUCCAAUCAGAACGAGGACAUUAAUGAAAGCGAAACUGUGAUCUGUGAUCAUUUAGAAAGAUGUUUAGAAAAUGCCAAAAAUAAUGUAGCAAUUAUCGAACAGUUGAAUUCGUCACUUGCAGAGAGAGAAGCAACCAUCCAAGAGCUAGAGGCCAGCAAGAAAGAACUGAAUGAAAAAUUCGAAAGCUUGGAGAAUAACUCUAAUCAUCUCCUCUUACGGAACGGAGAACACCUUGAACAGUUCGCAAAGUUAAAAGAAGAUGUGGAGUCUGCCCAAAAAAGAAUCGACUGUCUCACCGCGGAGAAAGACUGCUUAAACAGCCGACUGUCUGGACUGAAAGUUGAGAUUGAGUCGCUUAAUAAUUCAAAUCUAGAUAAAGAUAGAACCAACCAAGCGUUAGCAAAAGAGCUCAGUUUGAAAGAUGAUACGAUAGAAAUCAUGUCCAGGGAUCUUGCUCACUUGAACAGCACCCUACAGGUACAAGAAAAUUUAUUAUCAGAAGCGAACAAGAGCCUGGAAGAAAAACAAUGUGAAAUCGUUGAUCUUGAAGCUUCUAUCGAAUCAUACUAUUGUAAACUUAAGGAGAAAGAAGAUUUUAGCGAGCAAGUAGCUGAAAAGGAGCAACUCAUCAAAGAGCUGAUCAAAGAAAAGAGAGAACUAAUCAAAGAGAAAAAUCAAAUGAUGCAAGAUUAUGCAGAGAAAGUUGUGUAUUUGGAGAACUUGAAUUCCGAAUAUUUCGAGAAGUUGCAAGGACUGGAAUCUUCUUCGCAGUGUCUUGAAGAUGAGCUGAAGGCAGUUAGAACCUCAAACCAGCAAUUGAAAGAUGAAAAUGAGCGAGUGAUCAAACAGUUGGAAACAGUCCAGGAUGAGAAAGAAAGUCUGAAAGUUGUGGUUUCUCGCAGUAGCUGUAAUCUGAAAAUGAUGAGCGAGAAGUUGACAGAAUUCAACAAACUUGAAGGUAAAAUUGAAGAACUUGAAUCAACUCUGAAAGAAAGGAAUGAGAAAUUGGAGGAGCUCGACAAAAAUUUGGAGGCGUUAACAACGCGUAAAACUAUUACAAGCUAUGGGCAGCUGAUCUCCAAAAAGAACUUUCAACCCUAG
RNAcentral lists this long non-coding RNA (2625 nucleotides) under Bemisia tabaci. RNAcentral describes it as "lncRNA ENSSSA1NGG006905". The record is from RNAcentral. Lineage: Eukaryota; Metazoa; Arthropoda; Insecta; Hemiptera; Aleyrodidae.